AGCGAACGCUGGCGGCAGGCUUAACACAUGCAAGUCGAACGGGCAUAGCAAUAUGUCAGUGGCAGACGGGUGAGUACGCGUGGGAACGUACCUUUUGGUUCGGAACAACACAGGGAAACUUGUGCUAAUACCGGAUAAGCCCUUACGGGGAAAGAUUUAUCGCCGAAAGAUCGGCCCGCGUCUGAUUAGCUAGUUGGUAGGGUAAUGGCCUACCAAGGCGACGAUCAGUAGCUGGUCUGAGAGGAUGAUCAGCCACAUUGGGACUGAGACACGGCCCAAACUCCUACGGGAGGCAGCAGUGGGGAAUAUUGGACAAUGGGCGAAAGCCUGAUCCAGCCAUGCCGCGUGAGUGAUGAAGGCCCUAGGGUUGUAAAGCUCUUUUGUGCGGGAAGAUAAUGACGGUACCGCAAGAAUAAGCCCCGGCUAACUUCGUG
This 434-nucleotide ribosomal RNA is filed under the name uncultured bacterium. Its description in RNAcentral is "partial 16S ribosomal RNA". It matches the Rfam family "Bacterial small subunit ribosomal RNA", at positions 29 to 507 of the family's 1533-position model. The record is from RNAcentral.